GAGUGAACGCUGGCGGUCGGCCUAACACAUGCAAGUCGACCGGCAGCACAGUAAGAGCUUGCUCUUACGGGUGGCGAGUGGCGGACGGGUGAGGAAUACAUCGGAAUCUACUUUUUCGUGGGGGAUAACGUAGGGAAACUUACGCUAAUACCGCAUACGACCUACGGGUGAAAGCAGGGGAUCUUCGGACCUUGCGCGAUUGAAUGAGCCGAUGUCGGAUUAGCUAGUUGGCGGGGUAAAGGCCCACCAAGGCGACGAUCCGUAGCUGGUCUGAGAGGAUGAUCAGCCACACUGGAACUGAGACACGGUCCAGACUCCUAUGGGAGGCAGCAGUGGGGAAUAUUGGACAAUGGGCGCAAGCCUGAUCCAGCCAUACCGCGUGGGUGAAGAAGGCCUUCGGGUUGUAAAGCCCUUUUGUUGGGAAAGAAAAGCAGCAGGUUAAUACCCCGCUGUUCUGACGGUACCCAAAGAAUAAGCACCGGCUAACUUCGUG
RNAcentral lists this ribosomal RNA (493 nucleotides) under uncultured bacterium. RNAcentral's name for it is "partial 16S ribosomal RNA". It matches the Rfam family "Bacterial small subunit ribosomal RNA", at positions 27 to 507 of the family's 1533-position model. The record is from RNAcentral.